This 232-nucleotide ribosomal RNA is filed under the name uncultured bacterium. RNAcentral's name for it is "partial 16S ribosomal RNA". It matches the Rfam family "Bacterial small subunit ribosomal RNA", at positions 85 to 334 of the family's 1533-position model. The record is from RNAcentral.
CAAUACAUCAGUGGCAGACGGGUGAGUAACACGUGGGAACCUUCCUAGGGGUACGGAACAACUCAGGGAAACUUGAGCUAAUACCGUAUACGUCCGUAAGGAGAAAGAUUCAUCGCCCCUAGACGGGCCCGCGUCGGAUUAGGUAGUUGGUGGGGUAACGGCCUACCAAGCCUACGAUCCGUAGCUGAUCUGAGAGGAUGAUCAGCCACACUGGGACUGAGACACGGCCCAG